This 127-nucleotide non-coding RNA is filed under the name Palpitomonas bilix. The record is from RNAcentral.
GCAAAAAGGGGGAGAGGAAUCAUCUUCCCUUUGGGAUCCUUUUUUUCCUUUUUUUUUUUUCCUUUUCACCCUCCUUCCCAAUGCACAAGCACAGGAUCAGAAAGGAAAAGAGAUAUCGCAAUGGAUG